GUGCUCACUUCGGCAGACCAUAUAUUAAAAUUGGAACGAUACAGAGAAGAUGAGCAUGGCCCAUGCGCACGGAUGACAUGCAAAACUGACCUAAGGAAUUUGACAUU
Octodon degus (degu) is the source of this 107-nucleotide small nuclear RNA. NCBI's taxonomy places the organism in Eukaryota, Metazoa, Chordata, Mammalia, Rodentia, Octodontidae. The record is from Ensembl.